Molecule: ribosomal RNA, 493 nt
Filed under: uncultured bacterium
Lineage: Bacteria
Description: bacterial SSU rRNA
Rfam family: Bacterial small subunit ribosomal RNA
Source: RNAcentral
AUCCUGGCUCAGAUUGAACGCUGGCGGAAUGCUUUACACAUGCAAGUCGAACGGCAGCACGGGGCAACCUGGUGGCGAGUGGCGAACGGGUGAGUAAUAUAUCGGAACGUGCCCAAUCGUGGGGGAUAACGUAGCGAAAGUUACGCUAAUACCGCAUACGAUCUACGGAUGAAAGCGGGGGACCGUAAGGCCUCGCGCGAUUAGAGCGGCCGAUAUCUGAUUAGCUUGUUGGUGGGGUAAAAGCCCACCAAGGCGACGAUCAGUAGCUGGUCUGAGAGGACGAUCAGCCACACUGGGACUGAGACACGGCCCAGACUCCUACGGGAGGCAGCAGUGGGGAAUUUUGGACAAUGGGGGCAACCCUGAUCCAGCAAUGCCGCGUGAGUGAAGAAGGCCUUCGGGUUGUAAAGCUCUUUUGUCAGGGAAGAAACAGCAGCUCUAACACAGUCUGCGAAUGACGGUACCUGAAGAAUAAGCACCGGCUAACUACGUG